UGUGACCUACGGGGCGCAGCAGUGGGGAAUAUUGCACAAUGGGGGGAACCCUGAUGCAGCGACGCCGCGUGAGUGAAGAAGUAUUUCGGUACGUAAAGCUCUAUCAGCAGGGAAGAAAAAAGGACGGUACCUGAGUAAGAAGCCCCGGCUAACUACGUGCCAGCAGCCGCGGUAAUACGUAGGGGGCAAGCGUUAUCCGGAAUUACUGGGUGUAAAGGGAGCGUAGACGGCAAGGCAAGUCCGGAGUGGAAUGCGGCAGCUCAACUGCCGAACUGCUCGGGCAACUGUAUGGCUUGAUU
RNAcentral lists this ribosomal RNA (299 nucleotides) under uncultured bacterium. RNAcentral's name for it is "partial 16S ribosomal RNA". It matches the Rfam family "Bacterial small subunit ribosomal RNA", at positions 333 to 647 of the family's 1533-position model. The record is from RNAcentral.